CUCUGGGUGGAAUCCCAUUGCCCCACGGAUUCUCACGUGGCCUCUCCCAGCACUGCGUCACAGGUCACUGGGCUGUUUCCUUCCUGAACCUGUUCUCGAUCAUAAUAAAUCAGAGUCGUCCAGGUUCAUCAGCCUUGCUGGACCCCCGUGAAGGAUUUCACCAAACACCGCAGUGUCCUGGACUCAACAGAACCCCUGGCUUCCGAUUUCUUUUUUGUUUCUCUCUCUCCUUCCUGACUCCAGUGUACCAAGAUGUUCCAGUCUUGAUGUCAUCACUUGACAGCAGACUCAGCAAGAAGGUGCCGUCUGGGAACCCGGAAGCCGUCCCUCACUGUAGCUGCCACCAACUGGACCUGCCAGGGCCUUGAUCCUGAACUUCCUAGCUGCCAGGACUGUUGGAGCUGGUGUCGGAAACGUGGCUCUCCAGAGAGCAAGUUCACGUGUGUCCUCACAGAGCGAUACUGGCCCGACCAGGCUCCAGCCCCUGUGCCUUGCUCAGCUGCACAGGUAGGGACCAGCUGAGUCUCUUGUUCCGCUCUGGACUUGACACAUUUAUUCCUGCGGCAAACAGAGUAAGCCUGUCGGUUGUGCAAGCGCAGUUUCCGGAGCUUUGGUUUGGAGCCUCAGAAAUGCGGGAGUGCAGAUCUCCGCGUCCGGCUCGGGAAUGCUCUCAGAGGACCUGUGAGAUCCGAGGACUUUCUUCACAUCCUCAAACCCAAACAGCACAUUGCAAAACACUGAAUACAGAAGCAGAUGCAAAAGUCCACCUGGCUUUUCGCAAGCCCCGCAUUCAGACUUGCAAAGCGAAAACAAUCUCAUCCUUCUCACUUGUUUUCGGUUUUAGAACACAGGGAGAUUCCUCUUGCCCAGAUACCAUUGCUGGUCACGGGCAGUGGGUUUACCACUGCUAUUUUAGGGGAAACAAUAAAGACCAAAGAUUUAUUUAUUAUUGUUUAAGAUUUAUUGAUUUAUUUGAAAGUCAGGGUGACAGAGAUGAGAAAGAGAGAGAGAGAGAGAGAGAGAGAGAGAGAGCGCGCGCGCGAGAGCUUCCAUCUAUUGGUUCUUUUCUCAAAUGGCCGUAAUAACCAUGUCUGGGCCAAGUGAAAGCCAGGGGCCAAGGACUCCAUCCGAGUCUCCAACGUGGGUGGCAGGGGCCCAAGCACUUGGGCCAUCUUCUGUUGUCUUAGAAUCAGCGGGGAGCUGGAUCAUAAGUAGAACAUCUGAGACUGGAACUGGCGCCCACAUGGGAUGCUGGCAUUGUAGACAGCAUAUUAACUGGCUGCUCCAUGACACUGGCCCCGGGAUUAAAAUGAUCUUAUUUUUCAAGUCUGAUACAGCAAAUAUCAAAUCGUGUCAGGAGCAGUCCACAAAUAUGAGAGCAUGUUAGGGGCUUCCAUAGCUUCUAAGGGUAACCAGUUCCCAGCCCCUAAGGUUGGAGAACUGCUCCUGUAGCGGCAGCGCCCUGGGCUUGGAGAGCAACUGGCUUUCCCUCCAGCGCCAGCCCUGUUCCUUGGCAGCUGGUUGAGCACCUCCGGAAAGUUUCUAGAUUUUUCUGAGCCUCAGUGUUUCUCAUCUGUACAAUGGGAGCCGUGUGGGGCGUGAGCAUUUCAGCUGCUGCCUAGACCCAGGUUCUGUUGGAGGGGACCCCGGGGUGGCUUCAAGGGGUUUGUGUUCUGGGGCUGGUCACAGGGGUGGGGCUCUGAGCAUGUCUCCUGCCGCCCCCGCAAGGUAAAUAUGUGCGGAUUGGGAAAGUUGGUCAAAGGAAUGGAAUUCAGUUUGUGAAAUAGCUUCAAAGGGGAAUUGGAGGCAAUGAUUCUGCUUUGAUUAUUUUGAUCGUAACCACUUUAAAGUUUUGUAAAGCUCUGUUUACUCUCUCCUCUCUCUCUCUUAGAGGGGCCUUCUCAGGGUGCAAAUGAGCUGGCCCUUGCUGGAGUCUACUCAGGUAGAUGCCAGCCGUGCCGGGGUGUGCUGCCCUGGGCCUGGCUUUGGAGAAGUACACAGGUGCAGGUGAGCUCCGCCUGCUAUGGGGUGCAAGGCUGACCGGGGUGGCUGUGGAGGGGCUUGGUCACCAGGUUCGCCAUCCCAGGCCUGGAGAAGGUGCUUCCCUCAGCCUGUCACGAGGCCUGCGAUUUCUUCCAUGGCUGAGGUUCUUGUUUACCGGGAAACUUCUAGAAGAUAAAAGAGCCGCUUGCUAGGACAGGCGUUGCAGAUCAGAGCAGCAGGGUGAAGCCGCCGCCUACCACACGGGCGUCCCAUAUCGAAGCGUCCCAGCUGCUCCACUUCUGAUCCAGGUCGCUGUGAAUUCGCCUGAGGUGGCAACGGAGGAUGGUCCCUGUCACGCACAUGGGAGACCAGGGUGGAGUUCUUGGCUUCUAGCUUUGGCUUGGCGCAGACCUGGCUGUUGAGGCCACUUGGGAAGAGAACCAGCAGAUGGACAGUCGGUCUGUCUGUCUGUCUCCCUCUCUCCCUCUGCCUUUCAAAUGUAGAUAAAUAAAUUAGCAAAUAUUUACAAACAUGCAGUAACGUGUUACCAACCAUCCACAUUCAUGGUGAAGUGCUCCUCUUGGUAACAGAAAGCAGGGGAGAGAACAGACCAGUUUUGAAUGUUGCGGUUCUCACUGAGCGUCAAUUUCUUUGCUCCCUCCCCUUGGGAGCUGCUGGGAGUCACCCCUUGUGCUAGGACCAACCCUGGAGCUGAUGAGCUGAUGAGGGCUUUAGGUCUGAGCAUCAGCUCUCUCUGUCCCUCAGCCUCUGAAACCAGAUCUUUGCUUUAUUUGUCCCAAUUCUGGGUCCAAGUCUUUUAUGACCCCAGAUAACUCAGCCCUGCUUGGCUAAAUACCGAGAAAAACCAAACUGGAAAUUUGUGUUGCAAUAUUUAGGAGCUUGGCUGGACCAUGAGGUCCUUGUACUGAUCUUGAAGACACUGUUGUCCUUCUAAUGAAUUUUUGGUUGUUUAGCUCAGAGCUGUCACUGAGGGCUUAGGCAGAAUAAGGUCACGCCAAUGCCCCACGUCCACAUCCUAACCACUGGGACCUGUGGAUACGCUACCUCUCGUGGCAAAAAAGAGGACUCUGAUGGUGGAAUCAAGUUAAUUAUUUUACGAUGAGAGUCCCCAGGAUUAUCUGGGUGGCCCCAGUGUAAUCGCUCCAGUUCUUAUGAGACAGAGGCAGAGACAGAGCCCUAGUGGCGGACACAGAUGUUGGACUGAUGUGAUUGCUGGCAAUGAAGACGGAGGAAGGGGCCGUGGGCCAAGAAAUGCAGGUGGCUUCUAGAAGCUGGAAAAGACGAGGAAACCGACUGUCCCCUGGAGCCUCUAGGAAUGAAAUUCUGCUGAGCCCGCGACUUCAGUGCAGCGAGAUCCCUGUUGGGUUUCUGACCUCCAGAAUUCUGCUACUGCAUCCAUGUACGUCUGAGUCACUGGGUUUGCAGGAACUCACCAUGGCGGCCGUAGCAAAUGCAGACAGCUGGAAGAGGAGCUAUCAGAAGCAGACCAGUGGUGGGUGAAUAACUCGAAGGGCACUGGGAGGGCUCCCGGUGUAGAUACAGCAGGGACUAUCCCCCCUGGAGCCUGCAGGCGGCAGGGGCCCAGUGCCUCUGCUGAGUAGGGUGGCGUGGGGUGGUCAGUGCUAGGUGAAAGCUGCGGAUCAAGGGCAGAGAAGGAAGACGCUGUUUCUGCUCCAUGGGCUCACAGGAGGACUCAGCUCCCGGGAGCAUCGGAGUCAGUGCUGGAGGGAAGACACAAGGUUCCCACAGACGAGAUGGGCAGAGGGAAUUGUGCAAAGAGAGGCAGAGAGGUGGCAAAGUUCAACCCCCAUCCAGAACCUGGGAGUGAGCUAGGACUGGAGCCAGGGAGGGGUCAGGAUGCUCAUGGUUAUGAGCCACAGCAAACCUCAACCCACUUCGUGCUGCGAGGGAUCCCCAAGGUGGGUGCUUCCGGGCUGGCCAGAGCACGGGCUCAACAGUCUUGCCGGGGACUCUGGUUCUGCUGCCCUGACCUCACAGGCUGCGCCUUGGCGGUGUCCCCAGGAGGGCUGCUGAUCAGAUGUGACAGUGUCUAGCAGAGGGUGAGGCACUGGGACUUCGCAGGAACCACUAGUUGUCAGCAGAGAUCUCUUUUCUAGAAGUUUCUACUCAUGUCAUCUCCGCAUGUCGCCAGGGCCUGAACUGGGUCCGUCGCUAUUGGCAAGGGGAGUGUUCCCCAGAGAAGCAGUGUAUGGAAGACUAAGGUGUCAAGUGCCGUUGGGGUCUGUCUGGGUGUGGGGGAGAUGCAGAGCUGGUGGAGGUGAGUUGGGGCGGGAGGACUUGCACAUCAAAGUUAAUGUCCUUGGACUUGGGGCGCCCUGGGGAGGGACUUGAGAGCAAGAGUGUGAGCUGGUCAGAGCCGAGCUCUUUGCAGAGGUAAGAACCCCAGCCCAGUGUGGAGUGGAGAGGGGAGUUCCUGGAGGCUGGGACACCACAUGGGUGGUAGGUGUGCUACCUGAGCAAGAGGGCAGUGGGGACGGGAGGGUGAGGACGGAAGUGAG
Molecule: non-coding RNA, 4523 nt
Organism: Oryctolagus cuniculus (rabbit)
Lineage: Eukaryota; Metazoa; Chordata; Mammalia; Lagomorpha; Leporidae
Source: RefSeq, a predicted model, not a curated record